CCUGUUUAACAAAAACAUGUCUUUUUGAGUUAUUUUUAAAGUCUGACCUGCCCACUGAAAUUAUUUGAAUGGCCGCAGUAUUUUAACUGUGCAAAGGUAGCAUAAUCAUUAGUCUUUUAAUUGAAGGCUGGUAUGAACGGUUGGACGAGGUAUAAGCUGUUUCGUAUAAAUUUAUAGUAGAAUUUUAUAUUUUAGUUAAAAAGCUAAAAUUAAAUUAAAAGACGAGAAGACCCUAUAAAUCUUUAUAUUUUAUAUUAUUUCAAUUUUUUGGGUUUAUUUUAUUUUAAUUAGUUUAAAUUAUUUUGUUGGGGUGAUAAUAAAAUUUAAUGAACUUUUAAUUAUUAAAAAUCAUUAAUUUAUGAAUUAUUGAUCUAUUAAUAAUGAUUAUAAGAUUAAGUUACUUUAGGGAUAACAGCGUAAUUUUUUUGGAGAGUUCAUAUCGAUAAAAAAGUUUGCGACCUCGAUGUUGGAUUAAGAUAUAUUUUAGGUGUAGCUGCUUAAAU
RNAcentral lists this ribosomal RNA (503 nucleotides) under Bactrocera amplexiseta. RNAcentral describes it as "partial large subunit ribosomal RNA". It matches the Rfam family "Bacterial large subunit ribosomal RNA", at positions 1799 to 2568 of the family's 2925-position model. Lineage: Eukaryota; Metazoa; Arthropoda; Insecta; Diptera; Tephritidae. The record is from RNAcentral.